Molecule: transfer RNA, 72 nt
Filed under: Muribaculaceae bacterium
Lineage: Bacteria; Pseudomonadati; Bacteroidota; Bacteroidia; Bacteroidales; Muribaculaceae
Description: tRNA-Glu
Rfam family: tRNA
About the family: Transfer RNA (tRNA) molecules are approximately 80 nucleotides in length. Their secondary structure includes four short double-helical elements and three loops (D, anti-codon, and T loops).
Source: RNAcentral
GUCCCUGUCGUCUAAAGGUUAGGACGCGAGAUUUUCAUUCUCGAAAUCCGGGUUCGAUUCCCGGCGGGGGUA